GUCCGCGUAGAGUAGUGGUCAUCUCGCCAGAAUCACAAAAGUUCCCCAGACCCCCCAGUCAGGAGAACCAGAAAUGGCUCUGGAUAUCGCCGGUUCGAACCCGGCCGUGGGCA
This is a non-coding RNA of Orbilia javanica, 113 nucleotides long. Lineage: Eukaryota; Fungi; Ascomycota; Orbiliomycetes; Orbiliales; Orbiliaceae. The record is from the annotation of a GenBank genome assembly.